GAGAACACAGCUACUGUCCUCCAACGGAACAGACUCCCAACCCUGAGAGAGGCAGUGGGGGGUCCUACAACGCAGAGGCUCUGGGAAGGAGAGGACCCAGCUACUGUCCUCCAACGGAACACAGUCCCAACCCUGAGAGAGGCAGUGGGGGGUCCUACAACGCAGAGGCUCUGGGAAGGAGAGGACCCAGCUACUGUCCUCCAACGGAACACAGUCCCAACCCUGAGAGAGGCAGUGGGGGUCCUACAACGCAGAGGCUCUGGGAAGGAGAGGACCCCGCUACUGUCCUCCAACGGAACACACUCCCAACCCUGAGAGAGGCAGUGGGGGGGUCCUACAACGCAGAGGCUCUGGGAAGGAGAGGACCCAGCUACUGUCCUCCAACGGAACACACUCCCAACCCUGAGAGAGGCAGUGAGGGGGUCCUACAACGCAGAGGAUCUGGGAAGGAGAGGACCCAGCUACUGUCCUCCAACGGAACACAGUCCCAACCCUGAGAGAGAGAGAGAGACCAGUCGGGUAGCAGGUGUCCAAACGCCAUUGGGGGAAAAUAGCAGACAAAUUGUCAAACAAAACCUCACACCCUCACAAACCAUGAUAUAUCUCCCCUUCUGCCCAGAGAAGAUGUCUCAACAAGUUGCUUUAAGCCUGAACACAAGCUGUUGUUUUUUCUGUGUUGAAAUUUACAUUCAUUCACUGAAUCAAGCAGGGAUCCAAUCCAGACCAGUAAUAAAACUUUUUUUUAAAUGUCAAAAGGGAUUCAUGGAUGAGCUAGACACAUCAACUUUGCAGAAGCUCUAGUUUGCAUGGCAGUUAGCAAGUCAUUGUGCAAAAAUAUGUUUAAAAGUGACAAUAUUGUAACUUUUAGCACGACCUGACCAAAUUCACAUAGAAAUGUGAGUUAUAGAUCUAUCAUUCUACUUGGAAGCAAGUCUAAGAAGCGGUAUAUCUGUUCUGUGUGCAAUUUCUAUGCUUCUUGUUCUUAAGUUUUGUUUUUUGUUUUUGUGUCUUUUACUUUAGUUUUCUUUACUGUACACCAGCUUCAAGCAGCUGUUUAGAUGGUAACAUUAUUCUCUACACGAUACUAACUUAUUUUGUCACAAACUGAAAUUUGGCAAACUGUUAGUGUUUUAGCAAUCAGGAAAUGGCAGAGUGAUAUCUGCAUAGUGCAACUUCAAUAUAGAUGAUAAGAUCUGCUAGCAUACCAUGGAUGGUCCCGGAAAUCGAACCCACUAUCCUGGCGUUACAAAUGCCAUACUAUACCAACUGAGCUACAGAGGACCAAACCAAUAACUCAAGCCAAAAGAUAAGAACGCCUUGAAUAAUCUUGUGAUGGUUCUCAAAAAUACAGAACUCCCCCCUCCCCUGUACCUUUACCGCUCAGCAGCAAAGGAAACCUGAUGAAUACCGUGAUGUGCCCAACAUUGAACAUACAUUUACUCAAAAGAUAAUUAAACCCUCUUGCUUAUUAUCACAGACCACCCAUUCCAAAAGAUAGAACCUGCUGCCAAUUCAGUGAAUGAGUUUGACAACACCUAAAGAUCCUGCUUUAAAAUUGAGAAAUUAUGUCCUUGAAAAAAAUAAAUGUAAACUUUGUCUUCUGUUGUCAAGAAAUACAAAUUAAGCUAAGUUGAAUGUGAAGAUAUUUUUUUAUUUAGGUUUAGUUAAGAUGAUUUAUAUAUUGAUUUCAGGGAUGUCGACACUCAGCGAAGAUAUAGGAGAGAAGAAUGACAUCGGGAAGAAUUGACAUCUUGGACAUACAGUAUCUGCUCCAGCAUCUGAAUGUGGAACCCAAGCCGAUGGGAAUUUAAAAGGUCAGAACGAAGUUGCCAUUGAUGUAUUUUGGAAUUAUUUUUGUAAUUUAUUUUUUCUCAGAGUCAAAUACAAUGUAACCAAGAUUUAUUCGUUGGAAACCUUUUGCUCUGAAGAAAAGUAUUUUUGAUUUGAUGAGAAAUAUGAAAAUAUAUUUUAAAAGACAUGGGCAAACAGUUACAUGGAUUGGACCACUGUUUGUCCGUGACUCAAUAAAAAGUGCAUUCCUGACCUAUGGAUCGGACAGACUCCAUUUGCUCUCUGUCAGUCAUCACCACUUCUAGCAAUCACAUUGUGCAGAUCACUUGAUACCACUGUACAAGUCGGUGUCACUGUUGGUAUUUACCCUAUGAUUUUUCACUGUCAUCUUCAUCACCACGAUCAUCAUAUUCAUCCUCCUUAAUCUAGCUAAGAUUGUAAACUAUUCUCCAUUUCUAAGGGUCAGUAGAAUAAGGUGUUUUAAAAACGAAAUGUCUAUCAUAAUUUCAAUAUCAAAGUGCACUAUGAUAACUAUUGCCUGUGAUAAAAAAAAGUAACAAUUAUGGUUGAAUUGAUGGUCAAAAUAGAGACAUCCACCUUAUUGUUAUGAUUAUAAUAAUAAAC
This is a long non-coding RNA of Oncorhynchus tshawytscha (Chinook salmon), 2415 nucleotides long. The record is from Ensembl. Lineage: Eukaryota; Metazoa; Chordata; Actinopteri; Salmoniformes; Salmonidae.